UGAGGAAUUUUGCGCAAUGGCCGCAAGGCUGACGCAGCAACGCCGCGUGGGUGAAGAAGGCCUUCGGGUCGUAAAGCCCUGUCAGGUGGGAAGAACGACCGGGAAGUGAACAGCUUUCCGGUGUGACGGUACCACCAGAGGAAGCACCGGCUAACUCCGUGCCAGCAGCCGCGGUAAUACGGAGGGUGCGAGCGUUAAUCGGAAUUACUGGGCGUAAAGCGUGCGCAGGCGGUUUUGUAAGACAGAUGUGAAAUCCCCGGGCUUAACCUGGGAACUGCGUUUGUGACUGCAAGGCUGGAGUACGGCAGAGGGGGGUGGAAUUCCACGUGUAGCAGUGAAAUGCGUAGAGAUGUGGAGGAACACCGAUGUCGAAGGCAGCCCCCUGGGCCUGUACUGACGCUCAUGCACGAAAGCGUGGGGAGCAAACA
This 428-nucleotide ribosomal RNA is filed under the name uncultured bacterium. RNAcentral describes it as "bacterial SSU rRNA". It matches the Rfam family "Bacterial small subunit ribosomal RNA", at positions 355 to 774 of the family's 1533-position model. The record is from RNAcentral.